Non-coding RNA from Coturnix japonica (Japanese quail), 575 nucleotides. NCBI's taxonomy places the organism in Eukaryota, Metazoa, Chordata, Aves, Galliformes, Phasianidae. The record is from RefSeq and is a predicted model, not a curated record.
CUUUUUUGUACUUAUCAUUAAAAAUCCUUAGGUUUCAAGAGGCUUAUCUGUUUCAUUUCCUCCUAGCCAAUCUUAACUAAACAGCCUUAUUAUUCAGAAACAGAUCUUUAGUUAAGGAAAUUCUAGGUUUUAAUUGUUAAUGAAGUGUGUUUUUGUUAGCUUAAUGCACACUUUUUUUCCCCCAAGCAAAUGAAAAAGAUACAUAACAUACCAUCUAGGUAUUACCGCUGACAAUCAAACAAUUCUUCUCUAAUCUUUCCAAUCUAGGCAGUGAAUGCAUUUUCUCAACAAAGAAUAAAUACUUGCUAUCAUGGAAUUCUGGAUCAAGACUUACAAUGGUUGGCUGCGGCAUAAGCAUGCAGGAGAGAGUGAUUGUCCAGCUAUUUCAUUGGAACUCCUAAAUACUCAGAACAUGUUCUGCAGAAGGCAAAUCCUAGCUGAUAAUGAGCAGUCUACAACCACUCUCAAGAACUGCAAAUGUUGUAAGGGCACCAUUCUACAACUUCCGAGAGAACAAAUGUCUCCUUCCUGUCACUGUUGGCUGACUCCUGCUGGCACAGCACACAAGGGCAUGC